RNAcentral lists this long non-coding RNA (1105 nucleotides) under Homo sapiens (human). RNAcentral describes it as "HSALNT0301599". The record is from RNAcentral. Lineage: Eukaryota; Metazoa; Chordata; Mammalia; Primates; Hominidae.
GAAUUACAGACAUGAGCCACUGUACCCAGUCAGCAGCUAGUCCUUUCUUUGUCCUUGUAUAAAAUUUAAUGCCAUUCCCCUAGCUUUUCUCAUCAUUUUCAGAUAACCAAAGAUGCUUUCCAGUUCCAUGUCAUAGUCAAAUAUUUCAUCUUGGUUUUAAGUGAAAUCAUCUUCGUUUCUCCAGCUUAUGCUGCUGCAGAUGGAAAGUCUGAAGUCACAGAAAAGGCAGGAAUCCUUUGAAGGGAUAAAAGAAGUAAUCAGAGACCUGUCCAUGGUGACAAUAGGGUCAAGGUCACUUAACCUUCCUAGGCAUCAGUUUCCUCAGCUGUGAAAAGGGAAUAUUAACUUCAUUACAAGGUUAUCAGGAGGAUGGGUAACCAACCAUCUUCAGUCUGUAUGUCUCUCCAAUGCAUCCUGAAUCACUGGGAUUCCUUUGAAAAGAGAAAAUCAACCUUCUUCUUCCUGUUUCCUCCUCUGUCCUCUCUUCAUGGAUGAAUAAUCAUGUCUCCAUACCACAGGACAUUUCCCUCUGUGAAAAGUUUAAUUUCUGCAUUAAACCACUUGGCUUAAAAAAAAAUGAACUGGGAAGACAUUAUAACUCACAUUCCCCUCUGUGAAAAGUUUAAUUUCCAUAAACCUUAAAUCACUUGACUUAAAAAAAAAAUGAACUGGGAAAACUCUAACUGAGCAAUCUCUUGAGGAAGGACAAUGUUUACAGUAUGCAAAUAACCUAUUUGUCUGCUCCCCCUUUACGGAACUCCAGGGUCAAAGGGCUUCAUAGCUCGGGGGAAGGGAACCCAGAAGCCUGACAUGCUGGCAAACGAGUAAAAGUUUUUUACCCAUCAGACUUCUGGCUUUUCUCUCUCUCUGUGCAAACUGUUUGAAUGAAUGAUAAAAAUCACUGUUUAUAUACUCUGAAACGUUGUGAUUAAUGGAAAAAGGAUUUGUGAGGUGAGUCUUAAGCUAUAGAGAAUCUGUGAUACUUUGUGUUAAGAAUUUCUCUUUCUGUAUCUUUCUAUCAGAAAGAGGGGUACCUUAGGAUAAAAUGUGGGUCUAGGCCCAAAUGUCCAACAAUGAUAGACUGGGUUAAGAAAAUGUGGCACAU